RNAcentral lists this long non-coding RNA (1855 nucleotides) under Limulus polyphemus (Atlantic horseshoe crab). RNAcentral's name for it is "uncharacterized LOC111085851". The record is from RNAcentral. Lineage: Eukaryota; Metazoa; Arthropoda; Merostomata; Xiphosura; Limulidae.
UAAUGUUGUGUUCACUCGGAGUGGCAACAUCGUUCCUGUGGGAAAGUUAACGACUAGCUUGGAUCAAUUUCUAACAGCUCUUGUCCCAUAGUUAGAAAGCCAGGAAAUUUUUGAGAGCAUAAAUUGAAGAGGACUAUCUGAAAGCACAAGGAAUGCUAAAGGAUGACCUUACAUGCAAGACUAAUAACUUGCAGUCUGAAAAGAAGAUGAUAGAAGAGAAAAAGAGUGCAAAGAUGUGUUUAUGUUUCUACGCAGUAUUGCUACAGAAUAAAUUCAGUUGUGAAGUAAUAACAUUGGUAAUUGUAUGAGCAACAAUAAUUUUCCAGAAUAAUAUCAGUUGUUACGGUUGCUAUUUUUAGUAGGGAAAGUUUCUUGUGAUUGAACAGUCAGUAAGUAUAUUUUCUGUUCUAAUAUUCAUUUCAGAAUUAUUUCAUGAAAGUUAUUAAAUGUGUGCCUAUUAAAAACUCCAAAUGUCUAUUAAGAUAAAAGUUCUCAGGACUCCCACUAACCAAUAUGAUCAUAAUUUUGGGAUACAGCAUAAUUCACAUGCUGGAUUCUGAUAAAAAAAAAUCACUAUAGCUCUUGUUUUUCCAAACAUUUUAUUUAAUAUUAAGUAUAGUAACAGUGAAGGUGAAGAGGAUGAUCCACCACCCAAGGAAAAGGUCCCAAAGUAAGGAAAUAAUUUAUAGCCUACUGCAUCAUCACUGCUUGGCCCACCACAAAACAUUACAAUAUCACCGGAGUCGCAGGCAUGUUCAGUCUUCUGACCUCCUUCUGUGCUAAUCACAACCUCAAGUCCAACAUCCACCCAAGGCUUUUCAAAAAUGACCUUACCACCAACAUCUCCAGCAGCCAUCUCACCAUCAUCACCAAAAUCCUUACAGAUGAUAUAAACACCCGGGAAUCUACCACACGCCAACAAGUCAGUGCUUCAACACUGCUAUUCAGCAGAGCAAGUGGACGCUAGCCAGCAGAAUACAACUUCACACCAGCGAGCAGAUUUGUGAGUCAAAGAACUGGCAGUACAUCAAUACCCUGCAAUGAUCUCAGUUCUAGCAGCUAUUGGUGGCAAAGACGUCAAGCAUGUCUCUUGGAAUAUAGUGGCUCAUACAUUUUACCCAAGAAAAUUAAUUGGAAAGGGAUCAAUGGCAAACAGUCGUUUGACACAUUAACCACAAAGGCUUUAACCACUCGUACGUUUACAUGUACAUUGUAAAUAUACUUUAAAGGUUAGAUAUAUGUAAUAUUAUUAGUCCAAUAUUUAUAGCCAAAAACUACAUUGAGCAAUUUAAUAAAAUACCGGGAAUAUUCCAGUUCAUUGUUAAUGCAUUUUUAUCUUGCAUUCAGAUUUCUACAGUUUAUUGUCUAGAUGCAUUUUACUUCAUUAGUUUUUGUGAAAUAUUAUAGCGAUUUUCUGAUGUACUUGGAAGUAAUUUUUUUAAUGAAUUUAUAGUGGUUCAGUGUUCAGAAAGUUACAACUCUCAGACAUGUUUUACACGUUGCUGAUGAGCUUAUAUACUGUAUUAUCCUAAUUAAAUCGCACCCAAUUUUGACAAUUAGCUUCUUGUCAUGGUUUUUUAAGAUUUCUGAAAUUCAGAUUUCUGUUCACAAAAACACACUGGGCAAAAAUGUUCCUGAUGAGGAGGUGUCCAGGAACGCCAUCAGCUGGUUUAACCUGGCGUCAGAUAGCAGUGGGAGGUGUUGAGUCAAGGUUGCCAAAAUAAAGUCCUAAUUGGUUAAUGUUUUACCAUUAAACAAUAAACAUUAUGUUUUAACAAAAUGUAUUUGAUCAUAUUGGUAUAAUCAUUCCUAAAAUAACAUUUUGUGUUUUUUCAGAAUGGAAUAUUUUGCAAUA